UGGGGAAUUUUGGACAAUGGGCGCAAGCCUGAUCCAGCCAUGCCGCGUGCGGGAAGAAGGCCUUCGGGUUGUAAACCGCUUUUGUCAGGGAAGAAAUCUUCUGAGUUAAUACCUCGGGAGGGAUGACGGUACCUGAAGAAUAAGCACCGGCUAACUACGUGCCAGCAGCCGCGGUAAUACGUAGGGUGCAAGCGUUAAUCGGAAUUACUGGGCGUAAAGCGUGCGCAAGGCGGUUUUGUAAGACAGAGGUGAAAUCCCCGGGCUCAACCUGGGAACUGCCUUUGUGACUGCAAGGCUUGAGUGCGGCAGAGGGGGGAUGGAAUUCCAGCGUGUAGGCAGUGAAAUGCGUAGAUAUGCGGAGGAACAUCGAUGGCGAAGGCAAUCCCCUGGGCCUGCACUGACGCUCAUGCACG
This 413-nucleotide ribosomal RNA is filed under the name uncultured bacterium. Its description in RNAcentral is "partial 16S ribosomal RNA". It matches the Rfam family "Bacterial small subunit ribosomal RNA", at positions 355 to 755 of the family's 1533-position model. The record is from RNAcentral.